ACGUAGGUGGCAAGCGUUUUCCGGAAUUACUGGGCGUAAAGGGUCCGUAGGCGGUUUGGUAAGUCUUCUGUGAAAGCUCCAGGCUCAACUUGGAGUCGUCGGGAGAAACUGCUGAACUAGAGACUGUCAGAGGCAGGUGGAAUUCCCGGUGUAGUGGUGAAAUACGUAGAUAUCGGGAGGAACACCAGUGGCGAAAGCGGCCUGCUGGGGCAGUUCUGACGCUAAGGGACUAAAGCGUGGGGAGCGAACCGG
This 252-nucleotide ribosomal RNA is filed under the name uncultured bacterium. RNAcentral's name for it is "partial 16S ribosomal RNA". It matches the Rfam family "Bacterial small subunit ribosomal RNA", at positions 525 to 776 of the family's 1533-position model. The record is from RNAcentral.